Molecule: long non-coding RNA, 2237 nt
Organism: Notolabrus celidotus (New Zealand spotty)
Lineage: Eukaryota; Metazoa; Chordata; Actinopteri; Labriformes; Labridae
Exons: 7
Source: RefSeq, a predicted model, not a curated record
GAAAAACAUGUAAGCCUCCUUACCGCCAAGAUCUGACUGAAGAGCAAGGCGUACACAGGGUUGACUCCCCCGUUGAUGGCCGCCCCAAUGGACCCAAAAAGCAUAUAAGGCCACUCAGAGUAGGCUCUGGGGCCGAGAUCUCCAGUGAUGGGAACAGAGGCUUCUGGGAUCAGAUUGGACAGCUGGGAUCGGGACCGCUGGCGGAUUGAGGCCCUGCAAACAAAACAAUGAAAAUCUUUGAGCUCGGCCGUGCUCGUAGCCAACGAUCACGUCAGCGUUUUUUAUGGUGGACAGCCGGUGAGCGAUGGAGAUGGUGGUGCGGCCCAGGCGUACCUGUGAUGAAAUCAAACCUGUGAUGGUGCAAGGAAUCAACUUCUUUCAGGAGUGUUCCAGGUGUGUACUCCUGAGCAUCCACCACCAAACCGGAGCCGUACCAGAAGGCCAGCCCAUAGCACAGAAAGAUAAUCAUCCACAUGUACCCGGUGAAGAAGCCCAUGAUGAGACCCUUCCUGAUGCCCAUGCUCUGCGCCGAGAUCAAGUUCUUGUCGUACCUGCGAAGGAAGGCGGAAAGAGCAGACACCGUCCUGAUGGAGGAGAGGACCUCGUCGGCUACGGCCCCAGCUUUGGCGUACGCCUGCAGCUCCAAGCCUGUUAGCUUAGCCACGAACUACAGGAAGAGCAGAGGGGUACAAAGGAUACAGAGAGCUGAAGAGACAUCAACUCGUUCAGCUCGAUGUCGUACUCGAUGAAGGUGUCUGUGAGCAGGCCGAACACCAGCAGCAUGAGGGGCUGGGCCGAGCCGUGCAGCACCGCGCACACGCUUCCCAUCACCAUCAUCAGCACCUCGUUGCAUGAGGCAAAGCGGAACUGGACAGACGCAAAACACAAAGGUCACAAAGACAUCAGAGCCAGAGUUACAUAGUAAAAAAUGAAUGGGAAGAGUGUUUUACCAGCUGAAAGAAGCCGACCCUUAUGGCUGGCAGCUCUGCAUUUUCUUUCCCUCUGUGAAGAAUGAAGUUCAGUCAAUUUUCACACAAAGUGAAUUACAAAGUAUCAUCAGCUUCUGUUGUUUGCUUUGACUCACUUCUCAUCCUCUUUGGAUGUUGUCAUGCUCCUGCAAAGAAACCAAAGACAUGAACAUGCAGAAAUACAGAAAACUUAAGAAAAAUACAGACACAGAACUACAGGAGUCAUACCUAAAUACAGACACAUAACUACAGGAGUCAUACCUAAAUACAGACACAGAACUACAGGAGUCAUACCUAAAUACAGACACAUAACUACAGGAGUCAUACACUAAAUACAGACACAUAACUACAGGAGUCAUACACUAAAUACAGACACAUAACUACAGGAGUCAUACACUAAAUACAGACACAUAACUACAGGAGUCAUACACUAAAUACAGACACAUAACUACAGGAGUCAUACCUAAAUACAGACACAUAACUAUAGGACUCAUACCUAAAUACAGACACAUAACUAUAGGACUCAUACCUAAAUACAGACACAGAACUACAGGAGUCAUACACUAAAUACAGACACAUAACUACAGGAGUCAUACACUAAAUACAGACACAGAACUACAACAAACUCAAUUCUCAUCUUUUUACAUUAGCAGUUUUUAUUUUUUUAUUUUUUUACUCUAAUUACUUUUUAAAAAGCUUCCCUUUUUAACAUUUCUAUGCACCAUGUUUAUGUUGCACUGCAUUGACCUCUCAGGGCCAACUUAAUGAAGCAUUAACUUGUCACAUUAACUUAAAAGGGCUAAAUUGUUUCUUUCUGGUACCAAUGUGAUUUACUGGUACAUUAAUUCACGCAUUAAAGGAUUAUGACUCAUGCAUUAGUGAACACACUGACUUGAAAGUGUAAGCUUUGAUACAGCAGUGCUUUGAAACCACAAGAUAGACGUGUUUAGGUCUACACUCACAUACAGGUACACAUGGCUGCUGUCAUUGACCUUCACGGAGAUAAUGUAUCUCUUUCUAGCUACUACAUUUCACGUGAAGAGGGUGACUGUCACGUUUGUCCAAAGCAUGUUUAAGAACUCAUUCAACUCAUCAACCCUCGAAAAUCAACACCUGAUGAAAACAAAGAACUCUGUACUUACAUGUAGGAACCAGCUGGUUCUGCAACACAAGAAUGAAACAUAUACAUUUUGAUAUUCUUUUAAGUAUAAUGACAUAUCACUGAAUCUUUUCCCAUGUAUAUUAAAUAAAGUGGAAAUUUCAACUUAA